Molecule: unclassified non-coding RNA, 1900 nt
Filed under: Hevea brasiliensis (rubber tree)
Lineage: Eukaryota; Viridiplantae; Streptophyta; Magnoliopsida; Malpighiales; Euphorbiaceae
Source: RNAcentral
GUCGCCGGGCUAGGCGGAGGACAGGCAUUUCAAGCUUACAGAUUUGGAAUUUGGAUCGCCAAAAUCAAAGCCUCCAUCACAAUCAAAAAUGGAGGAAGAGAAAGCAGUUGCCUACUACGAUGAGCUCACCCGCAAAGGCGAAGGCGCCGCUAAGUUCAAGCAAGGCCUCGGCUUCUCUAGCAGCAAUGAUUCUGCUCCUUCUAAAGGCUCAGCUCUCCCUUCAUAUUCUUCUUUUCUUAGCAGUUUUGUCAAAUCCUCCAGCCCCUCUCAGACCUCAAAUUUCGAAAAGCAAGCGCAGCUCGAGUCCAUUCAAAACAAGCUCAAGAAGAAACCGAGGGAUGACUCAUCGUCUAGGGUUUCCGAAAUAAGCAGCAGAGAAUCGAGCCGUAGGCAUCGUUCCAGAAGUAGAGAGAGGGAUAGAGAUAGAGAUAGAGAAAGGGACAGGGACAGGGACAGAGAGAGGCAUCAUAGGAGGCGAAGUAGGAGCAGAAGCAGAGAGAGAUAUAGAGAAAGGGAUAGAGAUAGGAGAAGAAGGAGCAGAAGCAGGAGUAAGAGUCGGAGCGCGUCCCCACGGCGGGACAGGAGAUGGGAGAGAAGAAAUCGCAGUCGGAGCAUAUCACCUAGAGGACGGAGGAGGUCAGACAACAGCAGCAGUAAUGAUGUGGAGAGGGAGAGAGCAGGAAAUGAGAGGAACGGGAGCGUUGAUUAUUCACAGUUGAUUCAAGGCUAUGAAAAAAUGACACCAGCUGAAAGAGUCAAAGCCAGGAUGAAACUUCAGCUUGAUGAAACUGCUGAAAAAGAUACAGCAAAGGGCAUGGGCUCUGGUUGGGAGCGAUUUGAGUUCAACAAGGAUGCCCCACUUGAUGAUGAGGAAAUUGAAGCUGCAGAAGAUGAUGCAGGACUAGUCAAACACAUUGGCCAGAGUUUCAGAUUUUCUGCUGUGGAGGCAAGGAAGGAGGAGACAAUUAAAGCUGCUCAUGAUGAGGCCAUGUUUGGAGCGCCAGUGCUUCCAGGAUCCAUGAUUUCAGACAGCGAGCCAGAGGCAGAAAACAAUGAAAAAGAGAGCAACAAAACUGAAGUCACUAAAGGCCUUUUAAGCGAGAAGGUAGGUUGUUACAUGAGGAAGAGAGAAAGAGAGAAGUGAGUUUAAGCAAUUCUUUGUAUGGUUUCAGGUUCUUGCAAAGCAACAAGGUUCUUGGCGUGACCGUGCUCGUAAAGCAUAGUUAGAUCAUGAAGUUUGAUGGGGAGGUGACUCUGCUUGUAAUGGAUCAAGAAGCUAAUGGGUGAUGAGGCCUGGGUGUAAGAAAGGGAAUUGCCAAUUGUUGCUGCUCUUGCUCUAGUGUUGCAUUUGAUAGGUGAAAGUCUGUUUCCCAGAAUUUAAUGGGACCAACAAUUUCUGCACCCUGUUUCAUAAUAUCCAUGAAAUUCUGCAAAGCGAGGAUUAGGAAAGUAUAGUGAAGUUUUUUGUAAUUUUGAUAAUGAAUGCUAAUAUGGGGUUUUACAACUUGGAGCACAGAACACAAGUUUUUAAUGUAUAUGUGUGGAAAAGAGAGGCAACAGCUCCAAUCAUUUUGCGAUGAUUCUUAUGCUGGCUCGUGUUUCUUCAAAACUCAUCCUUGUGAUGUUUAUUUUGCACCUGCCGAGUGAACUAAUUAUUAAGGAGAGCUUCUUCUGAAGAAGAAAAGAGGUGAACUUGCUCUUGCACAAGGAGAAUGAAAACUUUGAUUGUUGCUGCCUGAUUCCAUUUCUGGUAAUGGUAGAUUUUUGGAUGUAGGAUUGAGCAAGCUAUUUGCUACAUUGAAAAUUGAUACAAUACUGCAAUGUACAUGUUACCUAUCAAAUCUAAUAAUGGAUGUGGAUUUGUGAUUGGGGUUAUGGGUUGAUGCUUCAUGUAUAUUCG